GGGUCAGUAGGUUGGUCGUGCCACCGGUACGUACUGGUCUCACUGAUUCCUCCUUCCUGAAGAACCGUAAUGCCAUUAAUUUGGUGUUGCGGGGAAACAGGACUGUUACUUUGAAAAAUUAGAGUGUUUAAAGCAAGCUAACGCUUGAAUACAUUAGCAUGGAAUAAUGAAAUAGGACGAUCGAUCCAAUUUUGUUGGUUUCUAGGAUUGACGUA
Molecule: ribosomal RNA, 215 nt
Filed under: Glomeromycotina sp.
Lineage: Eukaryota; Fungi; Glomeromycota
Description: partial small subunit ribosomal RNA
Rfam family: Eukaryotic small subunit ribosomal RNA (bases 40-215)
Source: RNAcentral